RNAcentral lists this unclassified non-coding RNA (292 nucleotides) under fungal sp. RNAcentral's name for it is "partial contains 5.8S ribosomal RNA, internal transcribed spacer 2, and large subunit ribosomal RNA". The stretch from base 1 to 105 matches the Rfam family "5.8S ribosomal RNA", at positions 50 to 154 of the family's 154-position model. RNAcentral also lists the same sequence under 1 other name. The record is from RNAcentral. Lineage: Eukaryota; Fungi.
GAAAUGCGAUAAGUAAUGUGAAUUGCAGAAUUCAGUGAAUCAUCGAAUCUUUGAACGCACAUUGCGCCCCUUGGUAUUCCGAGGGGCAUGCCUGUUCGAGCGUCAUUACAACCCUCAAGCUCUGCUUGGUAUUGGGCACCACCCGUCAGGGUGUGCCUUAAACAUAGUGGCGGCGCCAUCUGGCUCUAAGCGUAGUAAUUCUCUCGCUAUAGGGUCCUGUGGAUGCUUGCCAGCAACCCCAAUUUUAUCUAUGGUUGACCUCGGAUCAGGUAGGGAUACCCGCUGAACUUAA